Molecule: long non-coding RNA, 1773 nt
Filed under: Androctonus crassicauda
Lineage: Eukaryota; Metazoa; Arthropoda; Arachnida; Scorpiones; Buthidae
Source: RNAcentral
CUGGAAUAGUUAAUAUUUUUGUUUUACUUCUAGAUGCGCAAAAUUCGUUCGAAUAUUUUUACUUGCUAUUUGUCAUAGCCUAUACCAAUCGAAUAUAGAAGUUAAAUACGUCUGAAGAAUUCUGCAUUAUAAAAUUUGUUUCCGGAAUAAAACAUUCACCACCUGUUUCUUCUCUUAGGCACCGGUUGUACAGAAUAGCUUUAAUUACUCGCACGGAUUUGUAGCUCUGGCUUUAUCUCAUAUCAUUUCGGAAACUGACAGCUGUCAUUCGUCACUAAAUACAUGCAGCUGUUAGACGCAUAAUCGAACUAGUAAAAAAAAAAAUGCAAAUAGUUGAAGAAAGGGUGACUUAAAGAACAGAUAUGAGCAAAUUUGCGAUCUUACUUUUAUCGUUUGUUUCUAUCUCGCUUGUAUAAUACAUCGCUCUAGUGCAGCUUUCGAUUUGGUGUCUGAUGGUAGUGCACUAUUAGACAAAUAUAACUUGGGAGUUGGGCUUUUAACACCCACGUGGGUAAUAAAGCAAAGCCCAACCUAAUGAUACGUGGCUUACAAUCUGUUUGAUUUAUGACGUCAUUAAAAUAUUGGUGCUUCGGGAUUUUAUCUCUCGCACGAAUUCUUCUUUCUUUGGAUGAAUUGCACGGAAGUAUAUGAUUAAUCUAAUGUGACUUAUACUCUAAUGGGAUAAAGUGAUCGGAGUGCAUAUCAUCGAUACGUAACCUAGACGUUAAGCAUUUUCUUUGAGCAUUUCUCGGAGGUAUUGUCCGAGACUUGAACUAUACCUGUUGUUAUUUAUCGUUGGAGAAACUGUCUAGCGAAAAGGGUGUCGCAGUGAUAUAUAGCAGUAUAGUAUUAUAUUUUUAAGAUCCGCUCGACGGUUGUGUUUUAUUGCCUGUCGUUCGAUUCGGCUUCGCUACUCAUCCUCAAUUUCAACAACGGACGAUGUAAGGGAAUUUUAUUGUUCCCAGCACUCUGUUAGUCAGUUUGCUUUACACGCACACGCCAAUGCUCUCUCUACUCCCUAUGAUAAAUAUUUCACAAGUUUUAGUCUUCCGAAUAGAAACUAGGACAGCUUCUUUUUUAAGGGAAUGUGGUCAUUCCGUAUUCGUCCGGUUUCCUUCAUCUGUAUCUUUUCUUUUCUUCUUUUUUUUUAUUAUUCGUCUACGUGGAGCGAGUUUAGAAAAGGCAUGCGGUUUUCGUCUUUUGUUUCUCUUCUGUCAUGACACUUCAGUAAAAUAUGACUAGGCUAAAAAGGGAAUAUAUGGUUGUAUAAAAACAAUUUAUAUCUAAAAAUAACGAUAAAUACGUUAAUGAUCUUUUGUGUAUUUGAUUCGUGAAGUCAUAGUAUGUUUGAUAUUCGUUUUUUAAAAAUGUAUUAUUUUAAUAUUAAACUCCAUAUUAAGAGUACGAGAGGAAGUUAUUGUAGCUUCCUCUCGUACUCUUGAAUUCUUUUUUUUUUUUUUUUUGUAUCUUUCAAUAAACUUAAAGCUAAAGCUCCUUUUCCGUAGGGAUUGAACACAGAACGGAAAUCACCCUCGUUGUCAAUAUUAUUUUGUCGUGUUGAUUCUAGAAAAGACAUUUCAUUCCUUAUUGUACAUAUUUCCGUUCUACAUAGAAUUAAUAUUUGAAGUUUUGCUUGGCUAGACUACUAUUUCUAAAAAUUGCUUUCACCUAAUGUAAUGAAAAGGAACAUUGCAGUUUCUUAUUUGUUUUGGAAUACUGGAAUUUUAUAAUAGAUUUACUUUUGCUUUGUGAUAUGCUCUGCGUGUGCAAUAG